Molecule: ribosomal RNA, 564 nt
Filed under: Actinoplanes sp. 319H11
Lineage: Bacteria; Bacillati; Actinomycetota; Actinomycetes; Micromonosporales; Micromonosporaceae
Description: bacterial SSU rRNA
Rfam family: Bacterial small subunit ribosomal RNA
Source: RNAcentral
GAGCGGCGAACGGGUGAGUAACACGUGAGUAACCUGCCCCAAACUUUGGGAUAACCCUCGGAAACGGGGGCUAAUACCGGAUACGACACACUGACGCAUGUUGUGUGUGUGGAAAGUUUUUCGGUUUGGGAUGGGCUCGCGGCCUAUCAGCUUGUUGGUGGGGUGAUGGCCUACCAAGGCGACGACGGGUAGCCGGCCUGAGAGGGCGACCGGCCACACUGGGACUGAGACACGGCCCAGACUCCUACGGGAGGCAGCAGUGGGGAAUAUUGCACAAUGGGCGGAAGCCUGAUGCAGCGACGCCGCGUGAGGGAUGACGGCCUUCGGGUUGUAAACCUCUUUCAGCAGGGACGAAGCGCAAGUGACGGUACCUGCAGAAGAAGCGCCGGCCAACUACGUGCCAGCAGCCGCGGUAAGACGUAGGGCGCGAGCGUUGUCCGGAUUUAUUGGGCGUAAAGAGCUCGUAGGCGGCUUGUCGCGUCGUCCGUGAAAACCUGCAGCUCAACUGCAGGCUUGCGGGCGAUACGGGCAGGCUAGAGUUCGGUAGGGGAGACUGGAAUUCCU